GACGAACGCUGGCGGCGUGCCUAACACAUGCAAGUCGAGCGAGUGAAUCUCCUUCGGGAGUGAAGCUAGCGGCGGACGGGUGAGUAACACGUGGGCAACCUGCCUCAUAGAGGGGAAUAGCCUUUCGAAAGGAAGAUUAAUACCGCAUAAGAUUGUAGCUUCGCAUGAAGUAGCAAUUAAAGGAGCAAUCCGCUAUGAGAUGGGCCCGCGGCGCAUUAGCUAGUUGGUGAGGUAACGGCUCACCAAGGCGACGAUGCGUAGCCGACCUGAGAGGGUGAUCGGCCACAUUGGGACUGAGACACGGCCCAGACUCCUACGGGAGGCAGCAGUGGGGAAUAUUGCACAAUGGGGGAAACCCUGAUGCAGCAACGCCGCGUGAGUGAUGACGGCCUUCGGGUUGUAAAGCUCUGUCUUCAGGGACGAUAAUGACGGUACCUGAGGAGGAAGCCACGGCUAACUACGUG
RNAcentral lists this ribosomal RNA (464 nucleotides) under uncultured bacterium. Its description in RNAcentral is "bacterial SSU rRNA". It matches the Rfam family "Bacterial small subunit ribosomal RNA", at positions 28 to 507 of the family's 1533-position model. The record is from RNAcentral.